Molecule: ribosomal RNA, 465 nt
Filed under: Vreelandella stevensii
Lineage: Bacteria; Pseudomonadati; Pseudomonadota; Gammaproteobacteria; Oceanospirillales; Halomonadaceae
Description: partial 16S ribosomal RNA
Rfam family: Bacterial small subunit ribosomal RNA
Source: RNAcentral
CCUACGGGGGGCAGCAGUGGGGAAUAUUGGACAAUGGGGGCAACCCUGAUCCAGCCAUGCCGCGUGUGUGAAGAAGGCCCUCGGGUUGUAAAGCACUUUCAGUGAGGAAGAACGCCUGGUGGUUAAUACCCAUCAGGAAAGACAUCACUCACAGAAGAAGCACCGGCUAACUCCGUGCCAGCAGCCGCGGUAAUACGGAGGGUGCGAGCGUUAAUCGGAAUUACUGGGCGUAAAGCGCGCGUAGGUGGCUUGAUAAGCCGGUUGUGAAAGCCCCGGGCUCAACCUGGGAACGGCAUCCGGAACUAUCAAGCUAGAGUGCAGGAGAGGAAGGUAGAAUUCCCGGUGUAGCGGUGAAAUGCGUAGAGAUCGGGAGGAAUACCAGUGGCGAAGGCGGCCUUCUGGACUGACACUGACACUGAGGUGCGAAAGCGUGGGUAGCAAACAGGAUUAGAUACCCCGGUAGUC